UGUGCCUACAAAUAGUCAGAGCCCGUUAACGGGUGAUGGCGUGCCUUUUGUAGAAUGAACCGGCGAGUUACGAUCCCGUGCGAGGUUAAGCUGAAGAGGCGGAGCCGCAGCGAAAGCGAGUCUGAAUAGGGCGUUUAGUACGUGGUCGUAGACCCGAAACCAGGUGAUCUACCCAUGUCCAGGGUGAAGUUCAGGUAACACUGAAUGGAGGCCCGAACCCACGCACGUUGAAAAGUGCGGGGAUGAGGUGUGGGUAGCGGAGAAAUUCCAAUCGAACCUGGAGAUAGCUGGUUCUCCCCGAAAUAGCUUUAGGGCUAGCCUUAAGUGUAAGAGUCUUGGAGGUAGAGCACUGAUUGGACUAGGGGUCCUCAUCGGAUUACCGAAUUCAGUCAAACUCCGAAUGCCAAUGACUUAUCCUUAGGAGUCAGACUGCGAGUGAUAAGAUCCGUAGUCAAAAGGGAAACAGCCCAGACCGCCAGCUAAGGUCCCAAAGUGUGUAUUAAGUGGAAAAGGAUGUGGAGUUGCUUAGACAACUAGGAUGUUGGCUUAGAAGCAGCCACCAUUUAAAGAGUGCGUAAUAGCUCACUAGUCGAGUGACUCUGCGCCGAAAAUGUACCGGGGCUAAAUACACCACCGAAGCUGCGGAUUGAUACCAAUGGUAUCAGUGGUAGGGGAGCGUUCUAAGGACAGUGAAGUCAGACCGGAAGGACUGGUGGAGUGCUUAGAAGUGAGAAUGCCGGUAUGAGUAGCGAAAGACGGGUGAGAAUCCCGUCCACCGAAUGCCUAAGGUUUCCUGAGGAAGGCUCGUCCGCUCAGGGUUAGUCAGGACCUAAGCCGAGGCCGACAGGCGUAGGCGAUGGACAACAGGUUGAUAUUCCUGUACCACCUCUUUAUCGUUUGAGCAAUGGAGGGACGCAGAAGGAUAGAAGAAGCGUGCGAUUGGUUGUGCACGUCCAAGCAGUUAGGCUGAUAAGUAGGCAAAUCCGCUUAUCGUGAAGGCUGAGCUGUGAUGGGGAAGCUCCUUAUGGAGCGAAGUCUUUGAUUCCCCGCUGCCAAGAAAAGCUUCUAGCGAGAUAAAAGGUGCCUGUACCGCAAACCGACACAGGUAGGCGAGGAGAGAAUCCUAAGGUGUGCGAGAGAACUCUGGUUAAGGAACUCGGCAAAAUGACCCCGUAACUUCGGGAGAAGGGGUGCUUUCUUAACGGAAAGCCGCAGUGAAUAGGCCCAAGCGACUGUUUAGCAAAAACACAGCUCUCUGCGAAGCCGUAAGGCGAAGUAUAGGGGGUGACACCUGCCCGGUGCUGGAAGGUUAAGGAGAGGGGUUAGCGUAAGCGAAGCUCUGAACUGAAGCCCCAGUAAACGGCGGCCGUAACUAUAACGGUCCUAAGGUAGCGAAAUUCCUUGUCGGGUAAGUUCCGACCCGCACGAAAGGUGUAACGAUUUGGGCACUGUCUCAACCAGAGACUCGGUGAAAUUAUAGUACCUGUGAAGAUGCAGGUUACCCGCGACAGGACGGAAAGACCCCGUGGAGCUUUACUGUAGCCUGAUAUUGAAUUUUGGUACAGUUUGUACAGGAUAGGCGGGAGCCUUUGAAACCGGAGCGCUAGCUUCGGUGGAGGCGCUGGUGGGAUACCGCCCUGACUGUAUUGAAAUUCUAACCUACGGGUCUUAUCGACCCGGGAGACAGUGUCAGGUGGGCAGUUUGACUGGGGCGGUCGCCUCCUAAAGUGUAACGGAGGCGCCCAAAGGUUCCCUCAGAAUGGUUGGAAAUCAUUCGUAGAGUGCAAAGGCAUAAGGGAGCUUGACUGCGAGACCUACAAGUCGAGCAGGGACGAAAGUCGGGCUUAGUGAUCCGGUGGUUCCGCAUGGAAGGGCCAUCGCUCAACGGAUAAAAGCUACCCCGGGGAUAACAGGCUUAUCUCCCCCAAGAGUCCACAUCGACGGGGAGGUUUGGCACCUCGAUGUCGGCUCAUCGCAUCCUGGGGCUGUAGUCGGUCCCAAGGGUUGGGCUGUUCGCCCAUUAAAGCGGUACGCGAGCUGGGUUCAGAACGUCGUGAGACAGUUCGGUCCCUAUCCGUCGUGGGCGUAGGAAAUUUGAGAGGAGCUGUCCUUAGUACGAGAGGACCGGGAUGGACGCACCGCUGGUGUACCAGUUGUUCUGCCAAGGGCAUAGCUGGGUAGCUAUGUGCGGAAGGGAUAAGUGCUGAAAGCAUCUAAGCAUGAAGCCCCCCUCAAGAUGAGAUUUCCCAUAGCGUAAGCUAGUAAGAUCCCUGAAAGAUGAUCAGGUUGAUAGGUUCGAGGUGGAAGCAUGGUGACAUGUGGAGCUGACGAAUACUAAUAGAUCGAGGACUUAACC
RNAcentral lists this ribosomal RNA (2356 nucleotides) under Bacillus cereus. Its description in RNAcentral is "bacterial LSU rRNA". It matches the Rfam family "Bacterial large subunit ribosomal RNA", at positions 559 to 2925 of the family's 2925-position model. Lineage: Bacteria; Bacillati; Bacillota; Bacilli; Caryophanales; Bacillaceae. The record is from RNAcentral.